CAAUAGCGUAUAUUAAAGUUGUUGCAGUUAAAAAGCUCGUAGUUGAAUUUCUGUCAGGAGUGACCGGGCCUUUGGAUGAACUUCCAUUGUUUUUUGCUCUGUUUGUCAUCUCUAGACAUCCUAAAUUACAUUUCUUGUAAUUUUCUUUUACUGUUAGCAAAAUAGAGUGUUCCAAGCAAAGCGUAGUUUUGAAUACAUUAGAAUGGAAUAAUAAGAUAGGACUUUGGUGCUAUUUUGUUGGUUUGCACACCAAGGUAAUGAUUAAUAGGGACAGUUGGGGGUAUUCGUAUUUAAUUGUCAGAGGUGAAAUUCUUGGAUUUAUGAAAGACGAACUACUGCGAAAGCAUUUACCAAGGAUGUUUUCAUUAA
RNAcentral lists this ribosomal RNA (369 nucleotides) under uncultured eukaryote. RNAcentral's name for it is "partial 18S ribosomal RNA". It matches the Rfam family "Eukaryotic small subunit ribosomal RNA", at positions 592 to 976 of the family's 1831-position model. The record is from RNAcentral.